This 465-nucleotide ribosomal RNA is filed under the name Vreelandella stevensii. RNAcentral's name for it is "partial 16S ribosomal RNA". It matches the Rfam family "Bacterial small subunit ribosomal RNA", at positions 338 to 795 of the family's 1533-position model. The record is from RNAcentral. Lineage: Bacteria; Pseudomonadati; Pseudomonadota; Gammaproteobacteria; Oceanospirillales; Halomonadaceae.
CCUACGGGGGGCAGCAGUGGGGAAUAUUGGACAAUGGGGGCAACCCUGAUCCAGCCAUGCCGCGUGUGUGAAGAAGGCCCUCGGGUUGUAAAGCACUUUCAGUGAGGAAGAACGCCUGGUGGUUAAUACCCAUCAGGAAAGACAUCACUCACAGAAGAAGCACCGGCUAACUCCGUGCCAGCAGCCGCGGUAAUACGGAGGGUGCGAGCGUUAAUCGGAAUUACUGGGCGUAAAGCGCGCGUAGGUGGCUUGAUAAGCCGGUUGUGAAAGCCCCGGGCUCAACCUGGGAACGGCAUCCGGAACUGUCAAGCUAGAGUGCAGGAGAGGAAGGUAGAAUUCCCGGUGUAGCGGUGAAAUGCGUAGAGAUCGGGAGGAAUACCAGUGGCGAAGGCGGCCUUCUGGACUGACACUGACACUGAGGUGCGAAAGCGUGGGUAGCAAACAGGAUUAUAUACCCCUGUAGUC